RNAcentral lists this ribosomal RNA (253 nucleotides) under uncultured bacterium. RNAcentral's name for it is "partial 16S ribosomal RNA". It matches the Rfam family "Bacterial small subunit ribosomal RNA", at positions 524 to 776 of the family's 1533-position model. The record is from RNAcentral.
UACGUAGGGGGCAAGCGUUGUCCGGAUUUAUUGGGCGUAAAGAGCGUGUAGGCGGCCACACAGGUCUGCUGUGAAAACUCGAGGCUCAACCUCGAGCUGUCGGUGGAAACCGUGUGGCUAGAGUCCAGAAGAGGAGAGUGGAAUUCCCGGUGUAGCGGUGAAAUGCGCAGAUAUCGGGAAGAACACCCGUGGCGAAGGCGGCUCUCUGGGACGGUACUGACGCUGAGACGCGAAAGCGUGGGGAGCGAACAGG